AUAUACACCUGGCAGGGGAGUAUCGGUGGUCACGCUGGCCGCUCUCCCAAGGCGAGACUAUCCCAUUGCGCUUCGGGUGUGCUGAUGCCUGCAAGUCCCCAAAUGCAGGACAUCGACAUAUGACUAUAAAACACUCUUGAUUCUUGACUCUUGGCUGCUUCUGCAUAAGGGC
Amblyraja radiata (thorny skate) is the source of this 172-nucleotide small nuclear RNA. RefSeq annotates it as U1 spliceosomal RNA. The transcript has a single exon. Lineage: Eukaryota; Metazoa; Chordata; Chondrichthyes; Rajiformes; Rajidae. The record is from RefSeq and is a predicted model, not a curated record.